Molecule: long non-coding RNA, 735 nt
Filed under: Equus caballus (horse)
Lineage: Eukaryota; Metazoa; Chordata; Mammalia; Perissodactyla; Equidae
Description: lncRNA (ENSECAG00000052527.1)
Source: RNAcentral
AACUCACUGAGUGAUUCUGAGGACAGGAGUGUCUACAUGGGUUCAAAUCCCAGCUCCAUCAUUUACUAGUUUCUUGGCCUUGGCAAGCCAUUUGACUUUUCUCUAAGCUUCAGUUUCCUCACCUACAACGUGGAGCUCAUAAGAUAGAAUCUACCUAAUACAGUUACCAGGAGGAUUAAUGAAGAUGAUGAUUGUAAAGCAUUUAACACAGUCUCGAGCACAGCAAGUUAUGGAGGCACUCUACUCCCACACCAAGCUGGCUGCUCUGAGGAAAGGAGGCAUCUUCACUAAGGAGAUGCUCAGCUCCCAGUGCCCUGAGGAAGAGAAGCUGUCUGUGUGUGAAGGCCCCACAGCUGACAGGAAGAGUCACCAGAUUGUUAUUCAGCCGCAGGAUGUCCUGGCCUCCUAAGACCUUGCCCCUGUCCCCACAGCUUGCCGCCAAGGAGCCUUUAACUGCCAAGGACACAGAGACAGUAAUUCUCUAAUCUGGUCUUCCACAGAAUGUAGCAGAGUAUUGAAUGAGGCAUUCUCUCUACAUUUCACCACAGGAGCCACAAUAGCUAUGGAGUAAGUAAUAAAGCCAACAUGUGUUGAGCACUUAUGCUAUGCCAGGCAGUGUUUUACCUGCGAAAUGACUCAUAAAAUUAACUCGCUGCAUCCUUUCUACAUUCCUGUGAGGUAGAUUUUAUUAUCAUCCUCAUUGUAUACUUGAGACAGUGAAGCACAGAGAGGUUA